Molecule: ribosomal RNA, 1176 nt
Filed under: Apilactobacillus kunkeei
Lineage: Bacteria; Bacillati; Bacillota; Bacilli; Lactobacillales; Lactobacillaceae
Description: bacterial SSU rRNA
Rfam family: Bacterial small subunit ribosomal RNA
Source: RNAcentral
UGGAGAGUAACACGUGGGUAACCUGCCCCGAAGCGGGGGAUAACAUUUGGAAACAAGUGCUAAUACCGCAUAAUUAGUUGGAACCGCAUGGUUCCAACUUGAAAGAUGGCUCUGCUAUCACUUUGGGAUGGACCCGCGCCGUAUUAGUUAGUUGGUGAGAUAAAAGCCCACCAAGACGAUGAUACGUAGCCGACCUGAGAGGGUAAUCGGCCACAUUGGGACUGAGACACGGCCCAGACUCCUACGGGAGGCAGCAGUAGGGAAUCUUCCACAAUGGACGAAAGUCUGAUGGAGCAACGCCGCGUGAGUGAUGAAGGUUUUCGGAUCGUAAAACUCUGUUGUUAAAGAAGAACAAGUGUUAGAGUAACUGUUAACACUUUGACGGUAUUUAACCAGAAAGCCACGGCUAACUACGUGCCAGCAGCCGCGGUAAUACGUAGGUGGCAAGCGUUGUCCGGAUUUAUUGGGCGUAAAGCGAGCGCAGGCGGUUUUGUAAGUCUGCUGUGAAAGCCCUCAGCUCAACUGAGGAAGUGCAGUGGAAACUACAAAACUUGAGUACAGAAGAGGAAAGUGGAACUCCAUGUGUAGCGGUGAAAUGCGUAGAUAUAUGGAAGAACACCAGUGGCGAAGGCGGCUUUCUGGUCUGUUACUGACGCUGAGGCUCGAAAGCAUGGGUAGCGAACAGGAUUAGAUACCCUGGUAGUCCAUGCCGUAAACGAUGAAUACUAGGUGUUGGAGGGUUUCCGCCCUUCAGUGCCGCAGCUAACGCAUUAAGUAUUCCGCCUGGGGAGUACGACCGCAAGGUUGAAACUCAAAGGAAUUGACGGGGGCCCGCACAAGUGGUGGAGCAUGUGGUUUAAUUCGAUGCUACGCGAAGAACCUUACCAGCUCUUGACAUCUUCUGCCAACCCAAGAGAUUGGGCGUUCCCUUCGGGGACAGAAUGACAGGUGGUGCAUGGUUGUCGUCAGCUCGUGUCGUGAGAUGUUGGGUUAAGUCCCGCAACGAGCGCAACCCUUAUUAUUAGUUGCCAGCAUUUAGUUGGGCACUCUAGUGAGACUGCCGGUGAUAAACCGGAGGAAGGUGGGGACGACGUCAAAUCAUCAUGCCCCUUAUGAGCUGGGCUACACACGUGCUACAAUGGAUGGUACAACGAGUCGCGAAACCGCGAGGUCAAG